Molecule: non-coding RNA, 1069 nt
Organism: Candidatus Thorarchaeota archaeon AB_25
Lineage: Archaea; Promethearchaeati; Candidatus Thorarchaeota
Source: Rfam
ACGGGUCGAAGCACAGGUUAACGCCGGGACUAACUAUGAGUCUCUUAAGGUAGCCAAAUGCCUUGUCGGUUAAAUGCCGACGUGCAUGAAGGGAGCAAUGAGGUCCCCACUGUCCCCAGGAGGGCUCCGGUGAACCUACACCAUACCGAACAGUGUAUGUAGCGCCAAUGGGAAGAGAAGUCCCUGCGGAGGUUUACUACGCAGUCUGUCAUUGCCAUUUCUGGUAUCAUACAGAGUAUAGUCAGGAGCGACGAACCACACUCUCCGGGGUGUGGGAAUGCGACCGUGUAAUACUGACUAUGUUGUUGGGGAUGGCUAACCUAGACCAAGUGAGUCUAGGGACACUGGCAGAUAGGCAGUUGGGCUGGGGCGGCACAGGGCUGACAAGAGAUCAGCCCUGACCAAUGCUGAACUCAGAGGCGAUGGAAACGUCUCGUUGAGAUCAAGGGCAUAAGUCCGGUUGAUAGGAUCCCGAAAAGCAACGGGUCCUGGGUGGAAACACUGGCCUAGCGAACCUUCACUAGCCAAUUGUGAGUGGUGGAGAUGACAAAAAACUUACCCCAGGGGUAACAGAGUUGUCGCGUGCAAGAGUUCAUAUCGACCACGCGGCUUGCUUCCUCGAUGUCGGCUCUUGGUAUCCUCGGGUUGCACAAGGCCCGAAGGGUGCGGGUGCUCACCGAUUAAAACCGAACGUGAGCUGGGUUUAGACCGUUGCGAGACAGGUUGGUUUCUAUCUAUUGGUACUGUCGGAUGUCUGAUGGCAAGAUGAUUCCGGUACGAGAGGAACGAAUUGUCGCGACCUAUGGUGUAUCGAUUGUCUGAGAAGGCACUGUCGAGUAGCUAAGUCGUAAUGGAUAAACGCUGAAUGCAUCUAAGCGUGAAGCCAGACCAGAAAAUAGACAUCCACUUGCUAGACGAUCUGCGAAAGACGACGGGACUGGUGACAGUAACGUCGAAGUCUAGGAACGAGGACUCUUGUAGAAGACAAGGUAAAUAGGGCGGGGGUGUAAGCACCAAGCUUCGGCGAGGUGUUCAGCUCACCGCUACUAAUGUCCGAGGCGUGCAUUUC